GGGUGAGCACUUCUUUAGCUUCUUAGCAUAUCCUCAUUUCAUUACAUGCUAAUUUGAAGUACUAGUUUGAAUUUAAAUGGAGAAACAUUACCGGUGAGAACUCAUAUAGCCGCCCCUACCUUGUUUGUGAUUGAGGCGUAGUUGUUGUUGUUGUACUCAUGAUCACUGACGGAUUCAACAAUGGGUUCGUUAGUGUUUCGCCUUUGACCCUAUAUAUAUGUGUGAAAAAUAAGUGUAUAUAGAGUUAAGUAUGCAUUGCAUAACUCACUCUUUUAGCUCAAAACCAGCACUUGUAAAUGUUUUAUCUGUCACUGCUCCAGAUUUUACCAUUAUGGACAAUUUGGAGAGAAAAAUACGUUAGUUGUGAAAGUGGUCAUUGGCAAUUUGAUAUCAUUAGUGUACUCCUCUAGCAUCUGUACUUUAAGAUCUCCAUUACUUAAGUUCUCUUGGUAGUCUCUUAAGGGCUAGUUUGGUACGAGGGAUAAGGGAUAAAUUUGAGAUGAGUUUAUCCCACAUUUGGUUGGUAUAAAAUCGCAGUAUAACUAAUCCCGGAUUAGUUAUCCCGGGAUUGUAGUGUUAUUUUUAUUCCCAUGGGAGGGUGACAUAACAAUCGCGUGAUAAUUAGUCCUGGGAUAACUUGUUUCCCAACCAAACAACCCCUAAGGGUCUACCUCAAAGCAGCUUUAUUUGUUUUGGAUGUAGAGGUGAAGGCAACUUGUUUCCUUGAAGAUCUUCCAAUGAUAGUUGGAUUUGUUCAUUUAUCUUCUAGAAGGCACUGGGGACUGUCAUCAGAGUAAUGUUUUAGUCUAAAUAAUGUAAUAUUGGAUUAUCAUUACUAACUUUGCUUUACUUUCGUUGUAUGGUAAUGUUUUAGCAUAAAAAUCAUAGAGUUUUAUCUGCAUUGACAGUGUAUAGAUUUUUCACAUCAUGAGGCGAAAAUAGGUAACUCUUGAUAUCAAGUUCGAUAUGGUCACCUACAAGAUAGAGGUGAUCACUUGCUAUAGCCAGUUAAAAUUACGCUGAUAGUGUAAAAAUUCCUGAGUUUUGUUAUAUUUCUCAAAUCUCAAGUAACCUUGGUAAUUUCCUGAUGAGAUUAGGACCUGGUAAGACAACAAGGGGAGUAUGAAUCAAUCCACCGCGACCUAAUGAUAGGUUUCGGGACAUGGGAAUUCGAUCCUAUGGAACUCGAAAACCCUUUCCCUAAUGGUGAAGGUUCUGUUCAUAUUUGGCAAGGUGAUGAAGAUGGUCAUGUACCUUUCAUUCUACAACGUUACGUCACGCAGAAACUACCAUGGGUUCAUUAUCAUGAAAUGAAAAGAGGAGGUCAUAUGUUUCCAUGGGCUGAAGGAAUGGGAGAUAAAAUUAUGAAGACUUUCUUACUUGGAGAGCCCUUUGUUCUAUAAAACUAAACUAUGGAGCUGGUUUAGUAUUGAACCAAACGACUCUGUCAUUGAACAUUUCAAUAUUUAUUAACAAGUAUAUACCAGUUAAGUUGUCUAUGAUAAAGUCAUGAAAACAUACUUAGAGAGCCCUUUGUUGCUCAGACUUUCCGAAAAUGUAGCAUGGUGCGUGUCGGAUCUUCCAAAAGUAGUGCAUUUUUGGAGGACCUGAUACGGAUGCGACAGCAUUUUGGGAGUCGGCGCAACAUAGGCCCUUUGUUCUAUAAAACUAUACUAUGGGGCUUGUUUAGUAUUGGAUUCAAUGACUCUUUGUUAUUGUACAAAUUUGAAUAUUUGUCAAUAUUAUCAAAUGAUUGUUUAGUUGCUUUAUUCAAGUAAUGAAUGGUUAUGUGUUAAAACUCCUAUUAUUGUUUCUGGUGCAGUAAUGAUAUAUGUUACUUUUGAUAUGAAGGUGACUCAUUUGUUAUAAAGCUAUAAUAUGGAGAAGUUACUUGUUUAGCUUCUUAGCAUAUCCUCAUUUCAUUGCAUGUAAAUCUGAAGCCAUAUUGCUCAGACUCCGAAAAUAUUGUCGGGUGCGUGCCAGAUCCUCCAAAAGUAGUGUACUUUUGGAAGAUCCAGCAUGGGUGCGGCAGCAUUUUGGAGAGUCCGCGCAACAUAGAUUUGAACUGCUACUUCCGAAUCAAGAUUUAACCAUAAUACAUAAUUUGGACAGAAAAACAGGUUAAUGGCCAUUGACAUAAGAGAGGAUAACAGUUUGAUUAGCAUAUACUUAGAGCUACUGUUUCCUGCACAUUUUCUUGCCUAAUGCAUACUAGAGUCUGCUUGCAACUUGCAAGGACUAAACCUCUGUAUUAUGUUCUGUGACAUUAGUCCAUUAACUUUGGUUAAUUUCCUUUAUGAUGUUAGGACCUGGUAAGACAACAAGGGGAGUACGAGACGAUCCACCGGGAUAUAAUGAUAGGUUUCGGGACAUGGGAAUUCGAUCCAAUGGAACUCGAAAACCCUUUCCCUAACGGCGAAGGCUCUGUUCACAUUUGGCAAGGUGAUGAAGAUGGUCAUGUACCUGUCAUUCUACAACGAUACGUCGCGCAGAAACUACCAUGGGUUCAUUAUCAUGAAAUGAAAGGUGGAGGUCACAUGUUUCCAUGGGCUGAAGGAAUGGGAGAUAAAAUCAUGAAAACAUUCUUACUUGGAGAGCCCUUUGUGCUUUAAAGAUGUAGUAUGGGACUGGUUUAUUAUUUGGAUUCAAUGACUCUUUUGUCAUUGAAACAUAUUUGAAUAUUUGUUAAUAGCUAAAUGCUAUAUUUAAGUUGUUUAAUUCAAGUAACAGAUAGUCAUGAAGGCAUUCCCCCUUUGUUCUAUUAAAGCUGUACUAAUUACUAUGGGGCUGGUUUAGUAUUGGAU
Molecule: long non-coding RNA, 2804 nt
Filed under: Nicotiana tabacum (common tobacco)
Lineage: Eukaryota; Viridiplantae; Streptophyta; Magnoliopsida; Solanales; Solanaceae
Description: long non-coding RNA (NTAB_LNC014306)
Source: RNAcentral